CUCUCUCUGCGUCUCUGUCCAGAAGCUUCCCUUUCUUUUCUUUUUCUUUUCCAAUUUCAAGCUUUGAUUCCUUCUCCCAUAGUUGGAAUUUUUGGGUGCUAUUUGUAGCAAAUCGAAGAGCACGGCGAGCUCUACGUGUGAGUACCAACACUUUCAGUUUUGGUGCACUCUAGGGAGUUCGAAAUUCUAGGGUUCUUGGGCUCAAAUUGGGGGUUUUCAUUAAUUUGAGGAUAUGGAAAAGAGGUGGCGGACGACGGUCCACCAUAGGUUUAGAUGAGCUUGAAGACCCAUUCUAUUUUGUUAUCUUUUGUAUUAGACUCUAAUAUUUUGUAAAUGUAAUAUUAACUACCUUGUGAUACUUUAGUUUAAUUAGUAUAAUGUUGUAAGCUAUGGACUUUAAUUCUAGCUACAUUUUAUGGACUGUAAUUUGAUGUAACCAUUUUGGGAAUGUAGUAUAAUAUCUGAA
This is a long non-coding RNA of Cornus florida, 466 nucleotides long. RefSeq lists it as uncharacterized. The record is from RefSeq and is a predicted model, not a curated record. NCBI's taxonomy places the organism in Eukaryota, Viridiplantae, Streptophyta, Magnoliopsida, Cornales, Cornaceae. The transcript has 2 exons.